This 978-nucleotide long non-coding RNA is filed under the name Setaria italica (foxtail millet). RNAcentral's name for it is "long non-coding RNA (SITA_LNC003794)". The record is from RNAcentral. Lineage: Eukaryota; Viridiplantae; Streptophyta; Magnoliopsida; Poales; Poaceae.
AGCCACCAAAGCUAGGCCGAGUCUACCGGCCGGGCGGUGCAUGCCAUGGCCAUCGCCGGCCGGCGGCUCUCAGGGUAUAAAUACAUGCGCACACCGCUGCCUCCUUCGAUUGUCACUUACACUGAGAGAGCUGUCCAUCUCGAUCGGUUCAGUAGUCAGCAGGCACAUCCACCGUACCUGACAUUGUACCGCAGCCGACCAGCCGAGACCAUCAAGCUCCUCAUCACCAGCCACUUCAUCGCUUGGGCACGUACACGCACGAUGAGUUCCCUGGCGGCGAGGCCCACCCUGCUGGCGUACCUGCUGCUCGCCACGCUGCUGCACCCCUGCCUCUGCCACGCCGCAACGCCGGCGGCCGCUCGCUCCGGCGCCGGCGGCGCCAACUGGAGAAUGGAUCGUGAGUACCUGCUGCUGUUGCCUGACUCUUCUUUGGAGAUUGAUCAUCAGCCAACUAAUGAUGCUAAUGCCACCUUAUUAAUUACUGAUUGCUUGUUUCGAUCGGAUGGUGAUGCAGCAAAGGCGAUCGACCAGGGGGUCGCCUACGUCCUCAUGCUCCUCGCGCUCUUCGUCACCUACAUCGUGCACUGAAUUGAAUUGAACAGCGCUUACAGCACACAAGCCUAAGUAAUUAGUUUCUUCAUAUUCAUUGGUCACAUGAUACGCAGGGUCGACGUCCGAUCCUCCUAGAGCUCAAAGCAGGAGAGAGGCUUCUAAAGUUGGUACUACUAGAUAGCGUCUUGAUUUCUGUUCGCCGGCUAUCAGCUGCUCGACGAGCAGAGCAGUUUGGCCGCCGGGGCCGGGCAGAUCAUUUCUUUUCUUUUUCUUUUUCUUUUUUACUUUGAUGUGAUGAUGAUUCGACUUGCUGUAGUAAGUUGCAGUCUAGUAUUCAUCCAUCAUGUGCUGUAAAUGGUUCGUUAUUAAGUGGAGUUCAUGUCAAUAAGGAAUAAUAAUAACAUAAAUUCCAUUUUUCUACGCAAA